UACCGAGUUCAUGCCCUCGCGGGUAGAUCUCCCACCCUUUGUAUACUAUACCUUUGUUGCUUUGGCGGGCCGCCUAGCUACUGGCUUCGGCUGGUAAGUGCCCGCCAGAGGACCCAAAACCCUGAAUAUUAGUGUCGUCUGAGUAAAAUUUUAAUAUUUAAAACUUUCAACAACGGAUCUCUUGGCUCUGGCAUCGAUGAAGAACGCAGCGAAAUGCGAUAAGUAAUGUGAAUUGCAGAAUUCAGUGAAUCAUCGAAUCUUUGAACGCACAUUGCGCCCCUUGGUAUUCCGAGGGGCAUGCCUAUUCGAGCGUCAUUAUCACCCCUCAAGCUUCGGCUUGGUGUUGAGGCCUGCUGUAAAGGCACCCUCUAAAAUCAGUGGCAGUGCUGUCAGGCUCUAAGCGUAGUAAUUUUCAUCGCUAUAGGGUCCUGGUGGAUACUCGUCAGAACCCCCCAUUUUUUAAUGAUUGACCUCGGAUUAGGUAGGGAUACCCGCUG
Molecule: ribosomal RNA, 497 nt
Filed under: Ascomycota sp. BEA-2010
Lineage: Eukaryota; Fungi; Ascomycota
Description: eukaryotic LSU rRNA
Rfam family: 5.8S ribosomal RNA (bases 162-315)
Source: RNAcentral